RNAcentral lists this ribosomal RNA (468 nucleotides) under uncultured bacterium. RNAcentral describes it as "partial 16S ribosomal RNA". It matches the Rfam family "Bacterial small subunit ribosomal RNA", at positions 28 to 507 of the family's 1533-position model. The record is from RNAcentral.
GACGAACGCUGGCGGCGUGCUUAACACAUGCAAGUCGAACGGAAAGGCCCUGCUUUUGUGGGGUGCUCGAGUGGCGAACGGGUGAGUAACACGUGAGUAACCUGCCCUUGACUUUGGGAUAACUUCAGGAAACUGGGGCUAAUACCGGAUAGGAGCUCCUGCUGCAUGGUGGGGGUUGGAAAGUUUCGGCGGUUGGAGAUGGACUCGCGGCUUAUCAGCUUGUUGGUGGGGUAGUGGCUUACCAAGGCUUUGACGGGUAGCCGGCCUGAGAGGGUGACCGGCCACAUUGGGACUGAGGGACGGCCCAGACUCCUACGGGAGGCAGCAGUGGGGAAUAUUGCACAAUGGGCGGAAGCCUGAGGCAGCAACGCCGCGUGCGGGAUGACGGCCUUCGGGUUGUAAACCGCUUUCGCCUGUGACGAAGCGUGAGUGACGGUAAUGGGUAAAGAAGCACCGGCUAACUACGUG